This 433-nucleotide ribosomal RNA is filed under the name uncultured bacterium. Its description in RNAcentral is "partial 16S ribosomal RNA". It matches the Rfam family "Bacterial small subunit ribosomal RNA", at positions 29 to 507 of the family's 1533-position model. The record is from RNAcentral.
AACGAACGCUGGCGGCAUGCCUAACACAUGCAAGUCGAACGAGACCUUCGGGUCUAGUGGCGCACGGGUGCGUAACGCGUGGGAAUCUGCCCUUGGGUUCGGAAUAACAGUUGGAAACGACUGCUAAUACCGGAUGAUGACGUAAGUCCAAAGAUUUAUCGCCCAAGGAUGAGCCCGCGUAGGAUUAGCUAGUUGGUGAGGUAAAGGCUCACCAAGGCGACGAUCCUUAGCUGGUCUGAGAGGAUGAUCAGCCACACUGGGACUGAGACACGGCCCAGACUCCUACGAGAGGAAGCAGUGGGGAAUAUUGGACAAUGGGCGAAAGCCUGAUACAGCAAUGCAGCGUGAGUGAUGAAGGCCUUAGGGUUGUAAAGCUCUUUUACCCGGGAUGAUAAUGACAGUACCGGGAGAAUAAGCUCCGGCUAACUCCGUG